RNAcentral lists this non-coding RNA (301 nucleotides) under Phascolarctos cinereus (koala). The record is from RNAcentral. Lineage: Eukaryota; Metazoa; Chordata; Mammalia; Diprotodontia; Phascolarctidae.
CCUGGGGGAGUGAUUUACAUCUGUAGUCUCUGCUAUUAGGAAGGCUGGGAGUGAUAGGUCACUUCAGCUCAGGAAUUCUGAGCUACAGUGAGCUAAACUAAUUGAGUGUCUGCACUAAGUCCCUUACCAAUAUGGUGGGACCUGCAAACAGGGGGCCACCAGGCUGCCUAAAGAGGGGAGAGCUGAUCCAGAUUAGAAAGCACAGCAGGUCAAUGUUCUGGUGUUGAUCAGUAGUGGGAUUAGGUCUAUGAGUAAUUAGUGUACUUGCAGCUUGGGAAAGAUACAGUACCCCAAUUUCUAC